Molecule: non-coding RNA, 45 nt
Filed under: Schistosoma margrebowiei
Lineage: Eukaryota; Metazoa; Platyhelminthes; Trematoda; Strigeidida; Schistosomatidae
Source: RNAcentral
AUCCGACUGAUGAGUCUCAAAUAGGACGAAAUGCGCGUCCUGGAU